This is a non-coding RNA of Venturia effusa, 87 nucleotides long. The record is from the annotation of a GenBank genome assembly. NCBI's taxonomy places the organism in Eukaryota, Fungi, Ascomycota, Dothideomycetes, Venturiales, Venturiaceae.
UCCGAUGUGGUCUAGUGGCUAGGAUUACCCGCUCUCAUCUGAUGAGCUCGUUCCGGGUAGGCCCGGGUUCAAUUCCCGGCAUCGGAA